RNAcentral lists this ribosomal RNA (495 nucleotides) under uncultured bacterium. RNAcentral describes it as "partial 16S ribosomal RNA". It matches the Rfam family "Bacterial small subunit ribosomal RNA", at positions 28 to 505 of the family's 1533-position model. The record is from RNAcentral.
GAUGAACGCUGGCGGCGUGCCUAAUACAUGCAAGUCGAGCGAACAGACGAGGAGCUUGCUCCUCUGACGUUAGCGGCGGACGGGUGAGUAACACGUGGAUAACCUACCUAUAAGACUGGGAUAACUUCGGGAAACCGGAGCUAAUACCGGAUAAUAUAUUGAACCGCAUGGUUCAAUAGUGAAAGACGGUUUUGCUGUCACUUAUAGAUGGAUCCGCGCCGCAUUAGCUAGUUGGUAAGGUAACGGCUUACCAAGGCAACGAUGCGUAGCCGACCUGAGAGGGUGAUCGGCCACACUGGAACUGAGACACGGUCCAGACUCCUACGGGAGGCAGCAGUAGGGAAUCUGCCGAGAGGGGCGAAAGCGUGACGGAGCAACGCCGCGGGAGUGAUGAAGGUCUUCGGAUCGUAAAACUCUGUUAUUAGGGAAGAACAAAUGUGUAAGUAACUAUGCACGUCUUGACGGUACCUAAUCAGAAAGCCACGGCUAACUACG